CCCUACGGGACGCAGCAGUGGGGGAUAUUGCACAAUGGGGGAAACCCUGAUGCAGCGACGCCGCGUGUGGGAAGACGGUCUUCUGGAUUGUAAACCACUGUCCCCAGGGACGAAAAUGACGGUACCUGGGGAGGAAGCUCCGGCUAACUACGUGCCAGCAGCCGCGGUAAUACGUAGGGGGCAAGCGUUAUCCGGAUUUACUGGGUGUAAAGGGAGCGUAGACGGCGAAGAAAGUCUGAAGUGAAAGCCCGCGGCUCAACCGCGGAAUGGCUUUGGAAACUUUUUUGCUGGAGUACCGGAGAGGU
This 305-nucleotide ribosomal RNA is filed under the name uncultured bacterium. RNAcentral's name for it is "bacterial SSU rRNA". It matches the Rfam family "Bacterial small subunit ribosomal RNA", at positions 337 to 658 of the family's 1533-position model. The record is from RNAcentral.